Molecule: ribosomal RNA, 1345 nt
Filed under: uncultured bacterium
Lineage: Bacteria
Description: partial 16S ribosomal RNA
Rfam family: Bacterial small subunit ribosomal RNA
Source: RNAcentral
GACGAACGUUGGCGGCGUGCUUAACACAUGCAAGUCGAACGGAAAGGCCCUGCUUUUGUGGGGUGCUCGAGUGGCGAACGGGUGAGUAACACGUGAGCAACCUGCCCUUGACUUUGGGAUAACUUCAGGAAACUGGGGCUAAUACCGGAUAGGAGCUCCUGCUGCAUGGUGGGGGUUGGAAAGUUUCGGCGGUUGGGGAUGGACUCGCGGCUUAUCAGUUUGUUGGUGGGGUAGUGGCUUACCAAGGCCUUGACGGGUAGCCGGCCUGAGAGGGUGACCGGCCACAUUGGGACUGAGAUACGGCCCAGACUCCUACGGGAGGCAGCAGUGGGGAAUAUUGCACAAUGGGCGGAAGCCUGAUGCAGCAACGCCGCGUGCGGGAUGACGGCCUUCGGGUUGUAAACCGCUUUCGCCUGUGACGAAGCGUGAGUGACGGUAAUGGGUAAAGAAGCACCGGCUAACUACGUGCCAGCAGCCGCGGUGAUACGUAGGGUGCGAGCGUUGUCCGGAUUUAUUGGGCGUAAAGGGCUCGUAGGUGGUUGAUCGCGUCGGAAGUGUAAUCUUGGGGCUUAACCCUGAGCGUGCUUUCGAUACGGGUUGACUUGAGGAAGGUAGGGGAGAAUGGAAUUCCUGGUGGAGCGGUGGAAUGCGCAGAUAUCAGGAGGAACACCAGUGGCGAAGGCGGUUCUCUGGGCCUUUCCUGACGCUGAGGAGCGAAAGCGUGGGGAGCGAACAGGCUUAGAUACCCUGGUAGUCCACGCUGUAAACGGUGGGUACUAGGUGUGGGGUCCAUUCCACGGGUUCCGUGCCGUAGCUAACGCUUUAAGUACCCCGCCUGGGGAGUACGGCCGCAAGGCUAAAACUCAAAGGAAUUGACGGGGCCCCGCACAAGCGGCGGAGCAUGCGGAUUAAUUCGAUGCAACGCGUAGAACCUUACCUGGGUUUGACAUGGAUCGGGAGUGCUCAGAGAUGGGUGUGCCUCUUUUGGGGUCGGUUCACAGGUGGUGCAUGCCUGUCGUCAGCUCGUGUCGUGAGAUGUUGGGUUAAGUCCCGCAACGAGCGCAACCCUUGUUCACUGUUGCCAGCACGUUAUGGUGGGGACUCAGUGGAGACCGCCGGGGUCAACUCGGAGGAAGGUGGGGAUGACGUCAAGUCAUCAUGCCCCUUAUGUCCAGGGCUUCACGCAUGCUACAAUGGCUGGUACAGAGAGUGGCGAGCCUGUGAGGGUGAGCGAAUCUCGGAAAGCCGGUCUCAGUUCGGAUUGGGGUCUGCAACCCGACCUCAUGAAGUCGGAGUCGCUAGUAAUCGCAAAUCAGCAACGCUGCGGUGAAUACGUUCCCGGGGC